Molecule: ribosomal RNA, 917 nt
Filed under: uncultured archaeon
Lineage: Archaea
Description: bacterial SSU rRNA
Rfam family: Archaeal small subunit ribosomal RNA
Source: RNAcentral
UCCGGUUGAUCCCGCCGGACCUGACUGCUAUCGGAUUGAUACUAAGCCAUGCGAGUCAUUGUANCAAUGCAAGGCAGACGGCUCAGUAACGCGUAGUCAACCUACCCUAUGGACGGGAAUAAUCUCGGGAAACUGAGGCUAAUUCCAGAUAGAACACUAUGCCUGGAACGGUUUGUGUUCCAAACGAUUUAUCGCCAUAGGAUGGGACUGCGGCCUAUCAGUUUGUUGGUGAGGUAAUGGCCCACCAAGACUAUUACAGGUACGGGCUCUGAGAGGAGUAGCCCGGAGAUGGGUACUGAGACACGGACCCAGGCCCUAUGGGGCGCACCAGGCGAGAAAACUUUGCAAUGUGCGAAAGCACGACAAGGUUAAUCCNAGUGGUUCCUUGCUAAAGGAACCUUUUUGACGGUCCUAAAAACACCGUUGAAUAACGGGUGGGCAAGUUCUGGUGUCNGCCGCCCGGUAAAACCAACACCUCAAGUGGUCAAGAUGAUUAUUGGGCCUAAAACAUCCGUAGCCGGCUCUGUUAGUUUUCGGUUAAAUCUGUACGGCUCAACGGUACAGGCUGCCGGGAAUACUUACAGAGCUAGGGAGUGGGAGAGGUAGACGGUACUUGAUAGGAAGGGGUAAAAUCCUUUGAUCUAUUGAUGNCCACCUGUGGCGAAGGCGGUCUACUAGAACACGUCCGGACGGUGAGGGAUGAAAGCUGGGGGAGCAAACCGGAUUAGAUACCCGGGUAGUCCCAGCUGUAAACCAUGCAAACUCAAUGAUGCACUGGCUUGAAGCCAAUGCAGUGUUGCAGGGAAGCCGUUAAGUUUGCCGCCUGGGAAGUACGUACGCAAGUAUGAAACUUAAAGGAAUUGGCGGGGGAGCACCACAAGGGGUGAAGCCUGCGGUUCUAUUGGAUUCAACGCCGG